CGUGUAGGCGGGUAUAUAAGUCAGAAGUGAAAUCCAAUAGCUUAACUAUUGAACUGCUUUUGAAACUGUAUACCUAGAAUGUGGGAGAGGUAGAUGGAAUUUCUGGUGUAGGGGUAAAAUACCGUAGAGAUCAGAAGGAAUACCGAUUGCGAAGGCGAUCUACUGGAACAUUAUUGACGCUGAGAUGCGAAAGACGUGGGGAGCAAACA
This 209-nucleotide ribosomal RNA is filed under the name uncultured bacterium. RNAcentral's name for it is "partial 16S ribosomal RNA". It matches the Rfam family "Bacterial small subunit ribosomal RNA", at positions 568 to 774 of the family's 1533-position model. The record is from RNAcentral.